This 405-nucleotide unclassified non-coding RNA is filed under the name soil metagenome. RNAcentral's name for it is "partial contains 5.8S ribosomal RNA, internal transcribed spacer 2, and large subunit ribosomal RNA". The stretch from base 1 to 121 matches the Rfam family "5.8S ribosomal RNA", at positions 35 to 154 of the family's 154-position model. The record is from RNAcentral.
GAUGAAGAACGCAGCGAAAUGCGAUAAGUAAUGUGAAUUGCAGAAUUCAGUGAAUCAUCGAAUCUUUGAACGCACCUUGCGCCCUUUGGACAUUCCGAAGGGCAUGCCUGUUUGAGUAUCAUGAACACCUCAACUCUCACGGCUUGUCCGUGAUGAGCUUGGACUUUGGGGGUCUUGCCGGCCUGUGGUCGGCUCCUCUCAAAUGGAUCAGCUUGCCAGUGUUUGGUGGCAUCACAGGUGUGAUAACUAUCUGCGCUUGUGGUUUUCCAUCAGAUAACCUUCAGUGAGAUGGAGGUUCGCUGGAGCUCACAAAUGUCUCUCCUUAGUGAGGACAGCUCUUUGAACGUUUGAUCUCAAAUCAGGUAGGACUACCCGCUGAACUUAAGCAUAUCAAUAAGCGGAGGA